AAAUUGAAGAGUUUGAUCAUGGCUCAGAUUGAACGCUGGCGGCAGGCCUAACACAUGCAAGUCGAACGGUAACAGGAAGCAGCUUGCUGCUUCGCUGACGAGUGGCGGACGGGUGAGUAAUGUCUGGGAAACUGCCUGAUGGAGGGGGAUAACUACUGGAAACGGUAGCUAAUACCGCAUAACGUCGCAAGACCAAAGGGGGGGGACCUUCGGGCCUCUUGCCAUCGGAUGUGCCCAGAUGGGAUUAGCUUGUUGGUGGGGUAACGGCUCACCAAGGCGACGAUCCCUAGCUGGUCUGAGAGGAUGACCAGCCACACUGGAACUGAGACACGGUCCAGACUCCUACGGGAGGCAGCAGUGGGGAAUAUUGCACAAUGGGCGCAAGCCUGAUGCAGCCAUGCCACGUGUAUGAAGAAGGCCUUCGGGUUGUAAAGUACUUUCAGCGGGGAGGAAGGGAGUAAAGUUAAUACCUUU
Molecule: ribosomal RNA, 474 nt
Filed under: Escherichia coli
Lineage: Bacteria; Pseudomonadati; Pseudomonadota; Gammaproteobacteria; Enterobacterales; Enterobacteriaceae
Description: bacterial SSU rRNA
Rfam family: Bacterial small subunit ribosomal RNA
Source: RNAcentral